This 406-nucleotide ribosomal RNA is filed under the name uncultured bacterium. RNAcentral describes it as "partial 16S ribosomal RNA". It matches the Rfam family "Bacterial small subunit ribosomal RNA", at positions 30 to 526 of the family's 1533-position model. The record is from RNAcentral.
AUUGAACGCUGGCGGCAGGCCUAACACAUGCAAGUCGAGCGAGCGGCGGACGGGUGAGUAAUGUAUGGGGAACUGCCUGAUGGAGGGGGAUAACUACUGGAAACGGUAGCUAAUACCGCAUACCAUCAGAGGAGCCCAUAUGGGAUUAGCUUGUAGGUGAGGUAACGGCUCACCGAGGCGACGAUCCCUAGCUGGUCUGAAAGGAUGAUCAGCCAAACUGGGACUGAGAAAUGGCCCAGACUCCUACGGGAGGCAGCAGUGGGAAAUAUUGCACAAUGGGCGCCAGCCUGAUGCAGCCAUGCCGCUUGUAUGAAGAAGGCCUUCGGGUUGUAAAGUUCUUUCAGUCGGGAGGCGUUACCGACAGAAGAGGCACGGGCUAACGCCGUGCCAGCCGCCGCGGUAAUAC